Molecule: non-coding RNA, 1433 nt
Organism: Podarcis lilfordi (Lilford's wall lizard)
Lineage: Eukaryota; Metazoa; Chordata; Lepidosauria; Squamata; Lacertidae
Source: the annotation of a GenBank genome assembly
UCAAAGUGAAAAACAUGCAAAAUACAAUUACAGUUAAGCUAAAACCACCGAUUAAAAGACAAUGCAACUUUUUGCAGGCAAAGUAAAGGAAACAAAGUUUAUAGCAGGCGCCGAAAAGGGUGCAGUGAAGGCGCCUGCUUCGUCUCAAAAGGCAGGGGGUUUCAGAGUGUACUUGCUGCAUCUAGGCUUCUUGGGCAAAGCCUUUCAACAUGCCUAAGUCUUGGCGCAUCUCUUUCUGUAAAAUGAAAGCCUCAUAAUAAUAUUUUUAAAAAAUAAACCACAGUUCUGUCUGGUUCUCUCGCUGCCCAACCCGUCUUUUCAAUUCCCUUCUCUUCAACUGUGGGCACUAAUUCUCCCCGCCUAUGGGGCUAUUUUCCAGUUUUGCUAAGGGGUGAUGCUAAGGGAAGGGUGCGCUCCAGCCCAUCUAGAUUGGUCAAGCAGCGCUUGAAAAGUGAACUUGAAUCUCGCUCCUCCCCAAAAGCCGCCUCCCCAUUGGAGCGCUUCUCUCCAAGGAAAACGCGCCGGCCAAUUGGCAGCCAGGAGGGGCUAUAAAGGCGCCGAACUCCAGAAACCUGGAGCGGGCCUUGAGGAGCAAGGGCAAUUUUGGAAGCGAAAAGCAGCUUUAUUGGAAGAGAGCGAGGCAGCGCUUUUGCAAGAUGAAAACUACCAACAGCCAAGGUAAGAAUAGAGGAUUGUUAAAACGAUUUUUAGUUCACUUGUCUUUAAAAAAUUGCUCAAAUGAAUGAUAUAAAUUAAGGGUUAUAAAUUCAACGGUUUUUAUAAAUGGAGGGUGUUUUUGUUUCUGGGUCAGGAUCAGGGUGUAGAGACGGCUUUCAAAGACCCAUUUGUGGUAGCCGGGGAGGGAUUACACAGGGGCUCAAAUGUCUUCGGUUGGAAACAUUUCGCAAGAUUGGUUUGCACCUCUUUCCUUAUAAGCAUGAAGCAUUUAGUGCAUUUUACUGCAUGAAGCAUUUACACACACACUUUCUGAUUGUUAAAUCCCUUUCACAUAAACGGGAUUAAAUUUCCCAAUAAUCGUGGUUAGGAUCGGCUGCGGAAAACGAUGGCAGGCAUAGAAAUAAGAACGUAAACUUCUUACUUAAAAUUCUUUGGUUUGUUUUCAUGCAAGCCUUGUUCAGAGCAACCGGAGGUUUAUUUAAAAUUAGUGUCCAUUGUUAAGGCAAAACCAAUUCAGGGAGGAAGAUCUGCAAGCGUCUCUUCAGUUUAUGCCGAGCGCUUCCUUCAGAUUUGCCUCUUUGUCUUUUCCCAGGAGGAAGCUACCCCAAAGUCGGAGGAGAAAGGCGAAAAGGACUGUUUUUAGCCCAUCUCACGUCGAGCUCCUAAAAAAGUCCUUUGCAGAGAACCAGUACCCCGGAUACGAGACCAGGGAGGCGCUGGCGAGGUGCAUCGGAGUCGAAGAAGAUCGUGUGCAC